GCGGGUAAAAGGUAGCAGCUUAAGGUUUGCUAUUAAAAAAUAAGUUUUUAGUCUUGAGUGAUAUUGGGACUUAAUUCUCAGCAUAUAAUAUUAGAAAAUUUAAUAAAGUUAAGAUCUAGUAAUAAGUUUAAACCUGAUUAAUAUUGUGCCAGCAGUCGCGGUUAUACUUUAAGGUUUAGUAAGGAAAUAUUGGCUUAUUGUUAAACGUUGGUCGAUGAUUAAUAAAAUAGCCUGAGAGAAUAAAGAGUGAAAUUAGAGAUUCUUAAUAGGUCUGUAGUUUUUAAUCUAAGUUGAAGCAAUAAAAGAUUGGAGAUAAACUAGGAUUAGAUACCCUAUUAUACCAAUAAGUAAUUAUUAUAAGCCUAAGUAUUAAUAGUUAUUUUCUAAAAAUUUGAAAAAUUUGGCGGUGGUUCAGUCCUGUCAGAGGAACCUGUCUUUUAAACGAUACACCACGAAAUAUUUUACUUAAACUGAUAAAGUAUGUAUACCAUCAUUAUUAGGUAAUUUUUAUAGAAUAAAUUACUAAAAGACUAGCAGGUAAAGCUAAAUAUAUUAGAUCAAGGUGCAGCUUAUGUUUAAGUUAAGAUGGGUUACAAUAAUAUUUAUUUAUUACGGAUAGGUGAUUUAAAUAUUGCCUGGAAGGAGGAUUUGAUUGUAAAAAUAGUUUAGUAUGAUAUUUAGAUAUAGGCUCUGAAGCAUGUACAUAUCGCCCGUCGCUUUCAUUCAUAAAAUGAGAUAAGUCGUAACAUAGUAGGUUUACUGGAAAGUGAACCUGGAAAGUAAAA
RNAcentral lists this non-coding RNA (785 nucleotides) under Callinectes sapidus (blue crab). Its description in RNAcentral is "small subunit ribosomal RNA". The stretch from base 375 to 775 matches the Rfam family "Microsporidia small subunit ribosomal RNA", at positions 752 to 1303 of the family's 1311-position model. The record is from RNAcentral. Lineage: Eukaryota; Metazoa; Arthropoda; Malacostraca; Decapoda; Portunidae.